RNAcentral lists this long non-coding RNA (262 nucleotides) under Elaeis guineensis (African oil palm). RNAcentral describes it as "long non-coding RNA (EGUI_LNC024195)". The record is from RNAcentral. Lineage: Eukaryota; Viridiplantae; Streptophyta; Magnoliopsida; Arecales; Arecaceae.
GAACAUAUCUGGAAUGCAAGAUAUAUUAAGCAACUACUCGGUGUGCAACUACCACUGUAAAUCUCAAUCUCUUGCCUCCACUCGGUAUAGCCUGAGCCGAUCAAGAUGACAUAUAGCUAAGGUUCGGAUAACAUUGGAUAUGACUGAGGUAAACUAUCAUCUCGUAUCAUAAUAUAUCAUGAUUAUUGCUCUCUUUGAAUUGGUAGUAUAUAAAAAUUUUAUUAAAUAAAGAAAAAUGAUUGGUUAUAUAAUAUAGCAUGAG